This 76-nucleotide transfer RNA is filed under the name Acinetobacter baumannii. RNAcentral describes it as "tRNA-Val". It matches the Rfam family "tRNA". Rfam says of the family: Transfer RNA (tRNA) molecules are approximately 80 nucleotides in length. The record is from RNAcentral. Lineage: Bacteria; Pseudomonadati; Pseudomonadota; Gammaproteobacteria; Moraxellales; Moraxellaceae. RNAcentral also lists the same sequence under 2 other names.
GGGCGCUUAGCUCAGUUGGUAGAGCGUCUGCCUUACAAGCAGAAUGUCGGCGGUUCGACCCCGUCAGCGCCCACCA